AUGGAGCCAAACAUGAAUCCUCAGGAUGCUUCUUUGCCGCCAUAUGAGGAGUUCAUAAAGGAAUUAAACACGCAGCAAAGGAUGUACAUCCAGUUGAUAGGACUGGGUGGACUUCUCAAGACACCUAGCAUCAAAAUCAUAUGUGUACUGUGCAUGGACAUCACUAAUUCAUAUGAUGCAGAGCAGGAUGCCUUUAUCAUCAACGGGAGACCAUGUAGGAUCACACUAGAAGAUGUAGUGCAUAUAACAUGCAUGACCUGCCAUGGGAAGAAGCACGUCCCUUCAAAUCUUGAUGAAAAUAUGGAGUUGUGGAAGAAACUGAAAGACCAUAAUGACACCAAAAUAACUUUCAAAGGAUUGCUAGCCAAGAUGAAAGGCGACAGCACACCAAAUUUUGUCAGGCCAUUUGUCUUGUACACCAUAGGCAAAUAUGUAUGCCGAACAAAAGAGGAGUAUGUGGAUAAAAAAUAUAUUGGGAUUGUUAGAAACAUUGAGACGAUAAAGGGCACAAAUCCUGGACAGCUAACGCUUGACUAUCUUAUGGAUAGCUUGAAGAAUUUUGUAAAUGGUGAGGCAAUUCUGGAGGGGAAUCUACCACUGCUGCAGACAUGGUACUACGAGAAGUUCAGAGUGCACCAAUUGGACUCUAGCAUCUCGUAUGAAUCAAGGUUAAGGCCGCUGAUCCAGAACUGGAGCGAGGAGAAGGCAAAAAAGGUUGACAAUAUAAUCCAGAAUAAUUAUCUGGGAGUUGGAGAGUAUGUUGAGGACCUGAUGAGGCCUUUCAUUCCAGCACGAGAUGGUAUGCUGGCCAAACCGAAGACUGGCGGUCAGUAUGAAGUUAUAUGA
This 846-nucleotide ribosomal RNA is filed under the name Triticum aestivum (bread wheat). Its description in RNAcentral is "partial small subunit ribosomal RNA". The record is from RNAcentral. Lineage: Eukaryota; Viridiplantae; Streptophyta; Magnoliopsida; Poales; Poaceae.